Molecule: ribosomal RNA, 708 nt
Filed under: Klebsiella pneumoniae
Lineage: Bacteria; Pseudomonadati; Pseudomonadota; Gammaproteobacteria; Enterobacterales; Enterobacteriaceae
Also listed under: 2 other names
Description: partial 23S ribosomal RNA
Rfam family: Bacterial large subunit ribosomal RNA
Source: RNAcentral
GGGACACGUGGUAUCCUGUCUGAAUAUGGGGGGACCAUCCUCCAAGGCUAAAUACUCCUGACUGACCGAUAGUGAACCAGUACCGUGAGGGAAAGGCGAAAAGAACCCCGGCGAGGGGAGUGAAAAAGAACCUGAAACCGUGUACGUACAAGCAGUGGGAGCACCUUCGGGUGUGACUGCGUACCUUUUGUAUAAUGGGUCAGCGACUUAUAUUCUGUAGCAAGGUUAACCGUAUAGGGGAGCCGCAGGGAAACCGAGUCUUAACUGGGCGUUAAGUUGCAGGGUAUAGACCCGAAACCCGGUGAUCUAGCCAUGGGCAGGUUGAAGGUUGGGUAACACUAACUGGAGGACCGAACCGACUAAUGUUGAAAAAUUAGCGGAUGACUUGUGGCUGGGGGUGAAAGGCCAAUCAAACCGGGAGAUAGCUGGUUCUCCCCGAAAGCUAUUUAGGUAGCGCCUCGUGAACUCAUCUUCGGGGGUAGAGCACUGUUUCGGCUAGGGGGUCAUCCCGACUUACCAACCCGAUGCAAACUACGAAUACCGAAGAAUGUUAUCACGGGAGACACACGGCGGGUGCUAACGUCCGUCGUGAAGAGGGAAACAACCCAGACCGCCAGCUAAGGUCCCAAAGUCAUGGUUAAGUGGGAAACGAUGUGGGAAGGCACAGACAGCCAGGAUGUUGGCUUAGAAGCAGCCAUCAUUUAAAGA